This 455-nucleotide ribosomal RNA is filed under the name uncultured bacterium. Its description in RNAcentral is "bacterial SSU rRNA". It matches the Rfam family "Bacterial small subunit ribosomal RNA", at positions 28 to 525 of the family's 1533-position model. The record is from RNAcentral.
GACGAACGCUGGCGGUGUGCUUCACACAUGCAAGUCGAACGAGGUAGCAAUACCUAGUGGCGGACGGGUGAGUAACGCGUGGGAAUCUGCCUUUAGAUGGGGGAUAACGGGUCGAAAGACUCGCUAAUACCGCAUAUGACGAAAGUUGAAAGGAGUAAUCCGUCUAAAGAUGAGCCCGCGUCCGAUUAGCUAGUUGGUAGAGUAAAAGCCUACCAAGGCGACGAUCCGGUAGCUGGUCUGAGAGGAUGAUCAGCCACAAUGGGACUAGAGACACGGCCCAUACUCCUACGGAGGCAGCAGUGGGAAUUUUACGCAAUGGGCGAAAGCCUGACGUAGCGACACCGCGUGAGCGAAGAAGCCCCUUGGGUGUAAAGCUCUGUCAGCUGGAACGAAAAAAUGACGGUACCAGCAGAGGAAGCAUUCGGCUAACUACGUGCCAAGCAGCCGCGGUUAAA